This 8262-nucleotide long non-coding RNA is filed under the name Brassica napus (rape). Its description in RNAcentral is "long non-coding RNA (BNAP_LNC022349)". The record is from RNAcentral. Lineage: Eukaryota; Viridiplantae; Streptophyta; Magnoliopsida; Brassicales; Brassicaceae.
CUCAAUACCCUCUGCCAUUACUUCUCUCUCAAUACCCUCUGCCAUUACUUCUCUCUCACUUUCCUCUCUCUCUCUCUCUAAGAUUUGUACCUACCUUUCAAACACUUCGCCAAAAACCGCUUCACAAAACCAUCACUGGUUUUCCGGCAAACAAAUCUCGGACCAGACAUCGAUAUCGAUAUCGAUUCACUCCUCUCUCUCUCCCUCUAGGGUUUCUUCGCUUCUUCCUCGCAGUGUAUGUUUCGAGCACCUCAUCAUUUCUCUGGUGAUAUUUAGGUAGUUUAUCGUAAUAUUUGAAUAUAAUCUUUUUUUUUUACUUUGUCUAACGGGUUGGAUCAUUCCACUAAAAUUUAUCAGCCUCUUCAUAAGACUCUCAUUUUCAUGAUGAUUUUACAAUCAAAUAUAUCGCGUAUGUGUUGAUUGUUUAGAGUUAGUCAUUUAUUUUCCGUCUUAAUUUUCAUUCUUUAACAUUAAUUGAUUACUAAAUUAUUGUUUUAAAGAUAAAAUACGCCAAUAUUAUUGCAAUUCAUCUCUUAUCUUGUUUUCUGGCUUUCAAAUAUCUGUUUUUUUUUGUUUUAGUUCAUUUUUGCAUAUGAAUUUCUCAACAACAUUAAAGAGGAAGAAUUGAGGUUAAAGGUUUGUAUUCUCUUUGUAUGUCAUCUUUAUACCAUACGUUUGUUAUCAUAUAUAAAACGUGUAUAUAGAUUAUAUGCAUACAUAUAUUUAUCACUUAUGUGUAAAAUAAAAAUGUUAUAUAUAUACGAUGAUGAUACUAAAAUAUAGCUGGAGAAAUUCAAUAAAUCACCCAGGCCUUAUGUCACGUUGGCUGUAAGUUGUAUAAUAACUUCUAUGUUGGUCCCUCGCACCGUGCACAUAAUUAUAUUUUUCAUUUCAGGUUCUUAAAAAAUAUUUAAGCAAAAAAAAGUUCUAAAAGUUGCAAAAAGAGAUUUUUAUUUGAACAACAAUUUCAAAACCUGCUAAUGAUUACAAUAUGCUUGCUAACAAAUGAGUCCAAAAUUUCUCUUUUAGCUUUCUCUUUCCUCUCUCCUAAAUAAUCAAUAUUCUAUUAUAAAAAUGGAAUUUAAAUGGUUUACUCUAAAUCAAAUAUUACAAAUCAUUAUACAUCUUUUUUUUUUGAACAACACAAAUCAUUAUACAUCAAAAUUGAAUUAUUAAGUGAUUUUUCAUGUACACUACUACAUACAAUUCUUAGUCCGUUUUAAAGUUAUAGUUUUAACCUGCUGGUUAGUUUUUUCUAGAACGCAAAAAAAUGGGGAGGUUUGAAUAAUUUGGAAUUUGUGAAAUUCAUUAUUUUUGGUUGGUUAUUUAAUAGCAUAUUAAUAUAUGAGUGUGAUGUUUUAUUUUUGUUUUUUUUUUCUGAAAGGCUCUUCCUUCUUUUGCUUUCAAUUAGUGGGUCCUUUGUUUCCUACAAGCAUCUGCAAUUUCUUCGUUUUUCAAUUUGCCUAUAUCCUUUUGUAACAUCUUCAAGAGGAAGAUAGAAAACUCCAAAAUAUUAUAAUUGUUCACGUGGAUAAAGUAUUGCCAUACAUUUUUCACAAUAUUGGUGAAAUUUAUCUUCUUCUUGACUUGACUCGACUCGUACCUAAGAAGAAACCCUAAUUUUUUGACAUCUCACAAAACGUUCUGCUACUUUUGUUUUUAUAGGGUUUGCUUUCAGUUUCCAGCAUAAACAAGAUGUUCGAGCCAAAUAUGUUGCUUGCAGCUAUGAACAACGAAGAUAGCAAUAACCACAACUACAACCAUGAAGUCAACAACAAUAACAAUGAAGGAUUUCUUCGGGACGAUGAAUUCGACAGUGCAAAUACUAAAUCGGGAAGUGAGAAUCAAGAAGGAGGAUCAGGAAAUGAUCAAGAUCCUCUUCAUCCCAAUAAGAAGAAACGAUAUCAUAGACACACACAACUUCAGAUCCAGGAGAUGGAAGCGUAUAUGCAUAUUAUUCACUCAUAAAUUUCAUGUUUUACUUAUUCGAAAAAAACGUUUUUCAUUUUUGACAAUUAAUUUAAUAUUAUUAUUUUGGUGGAUAAAUAGAUUCUUCAAAGAGUGUCCUCACCCGGAUGACAAGCAAAGGAAACAACUGAGCCGUGAAUUGGGUUUGGAACCUCUUCAGGUCAAGUUCUGGUUCCAAAACAAACGCACCCAAAUGAAGGUAUAUAUAUACUCUUAUGUCCACAUACAUUUCUGGAUAUACAUAAGAUAAUUUUGAUGUAUAUAUAUUGAAAAGCUUAUGUUUAUGCUUAGACGUCAGACCUAUGCAUCUGAUCUCUAUCACACUCAAUUUUAGUAUAUAAUUAGGGAAUAUCAUGAUAUAUAAUAUAGGCCUAAUUAACGAAUGAGAAAAUCUUUGGUGGUUGAUAUAGAAUUUACUACAUUGAUUCUGGCAGAACUUUGGCAGAUUUAAAAUGUAGUUAGUUAAAACAAUUGCCCUUUUUUUUGUUCACCAAACAAUUGACUUUUGUAUACUUUUUCUCAAGUACUUUUUUCAAUUGAAAAGUUUUUCUUCGCUAAACUAUAUCCUUGGCGUAUUCAGCCAUAUAAAGCUCUUUAGUUAAAAAAAAACUUGCCCAUUUAAUAACUAAGUUAGAACCAUUUGAAACGUUUUGGAAUCAUGUGCUUACGUUAUGCAAAUAUGGGGAAACACAAUACGUGUACACAAGCGUAUUAUGUAUAUGUUUUUGUUUGUGCUACCGAUUUAUGUAUGUAUAAUACCUAUAUUUUUCCUCUUUUAGUAAAAAUCAUUUGUUGCUUCGUUUUUCUUAAAUUAGAAACUAUAGUUUUCUAAUUUAAUUAUACAUGAUUAACAGCAACAAAAGCAAAGGAGAAACCAAUUAAUUAUAUAAAAAUAAUAUGGAGACAACAGAAAAUGAAUUUAUUCUCGCAUGCAGAAUCACCACGAGCGACAUGAGAACUCGCAUCUUCGGGCGGAAAACGAGAAGCUUCGAGGAGACAACCUUAGAUAUCGAGAGGCUCUUGCAAACGCUUCUUGUCCUAAUUGUGGUGGUCCAACUGCCAUUGGAGAAAUGUCCUUCGACGAACACCAACUCCGUCUCGUUCAUCGUGGAUUUGAAUUGGAUUUGGGGGUUUUUAGUUAGUCUUUCAAUUUUUUUUUUUUGUUUCUCGGUUGCUUCUGUUCUAAUUAUUUGUUUUCCUGAUACAGAUGGAUCCCGAAGCAGAGAUAAGAGACACAAAGAGAAGAAAUGAGCACAUCGAUAUGCUUUCAUACGUGUGUGAUUCAGAACACGGGAUUCCGACGAGGUGUCCCUGUGGUGGGAGUAUAAUUCACGAGGUUCGUGGGAAGGAGGAAUACGACACUCUCCCCGGCAAGCGUUUCUUCACCUGCAUAAACUACGAGGUAAAAAACGGGUUCUUGUCUUUUAAAUUAUGUCUUCUGUUUUUGUCUGUUAAUUAACAAUCUGAUAUAGUUUAUGUGUUGUUACCAAGGCUGAUGGUUUUCAUUAUCGUCAGCCUUGGGUCAUUGGUGUGCAGGAGCAUAUCGAACGGCUCACAAGUCGUGUGGAGGAGGUGGAGGCGGUGAUCAAGUGGCUGCCGGAAGUGAAUAAUAAGAUUAAAAGUCUGGAGGUAAUCUGAUUUCCCACUUUUGAAUUUUGUUUUGUAAUUUUUUUCAUGGUUCAUGGGCUGUUGUGGAUAUUUCCUUGGAUAGUCUCCAGCCAAAUCCACCGGUUAGGUGCAGGCGGCGAGCUUCAGGGUGUUUGAUUCAAGAAAUGCCUAAUGGAUACUCCAAGCUGACUUGGGUGGAACAUGUGGAAGUUGAUGACAGAGGAGUUCAUGAUUUGUAUAAACACAUGGUUAGUACUGGUCACGCCUUUGGUGCUAAACGCUGGGUAGCUAUUCUAGACCGCCAAUGCGAGAGGUUAGCUAGCGUCAUGGCUACAAACAUUUCUUCAGGAGAAGUUGGCGGUAUAAACAUAUCCCUUGUUUCACAAGUAAUCUCUCAUAAUAAAAUUUAGAAGCAGAGUUAUAGUGUACUAUACUGAUGAAUGUACAGUGAUAACUAACCAAGAAGGGAGGAGGAGUAUGCUGAAACUGGCGGAGAGGAUGGUUAUAAGCUUUUGUGCAGGAGUGAGUGCUUCAACAGCUCACACUUGGACUACAUUGUCUGGUACAGGAGCUGAAGAUGUUAGAGUGAUGACUAGAAAAAGUGUGGAUGAUCCUGGAAGGCCUCCGGGUAUUGUUCUUAGUGCAGCUACUUCGUUUGGGAUCCCUGUUCCUCCAAAGAGAGUUUUUGACUUCCUCAGAGAUGAGAAUUCAAGAAAUGAGGUAACUCUUUUAGUUUCUAACAACUCUUAUGAAAUAAAAUUUUACAACCCAAAUGAAAAUCAAAUAUAUAAUUAAUAGUUAAUAUUCUAAUUUUAACUAUUACCGUGAAAUAUAAAAAAUUAAAAAUUGAAUAAUAUUUGUAUGAUUUAAAAGACAAAAAUAACCAAUGAAACUAAUUUUGAUAACAAAUUACAAAUAAAUCCAGUUUUUAUCCAUCUAACCUGAAUUUGUUCCGGCUUCACGGUUAAAUCUGGUUUGAGCACCGGUUCGGUCCGGAUUUAAAAACACUGUAUUUAAAUUUUUUCUGAGACAUUGCAGUGGGAUAUUCUGUCAAAUGGUGGAGUUGUACAAGAGAUGGCACAUAUUGCUAAUGGGAGAGAAACAGGAAACUGUGUUUCCCUCCUUCGUGUAAAUGUGAGUAGAUUAUGUGAACUCUUGUUAUAACUCAUAUUAUCAAGGCUAAUGAUUUUGAAUAUUUAUCUUAUGUCACAGAGUGCAAACUCUAGCCAGAGCAACAUGCUGAUUCUACAAGAGAGUUGCACUGACCCUACAGCUUCAUUUGUGAUCUAUGCACCAGUGGAUAUUGUAGCGAUGAACAUAGUGCUUAAUGGAGGUGAUCCAGACUAUGUAGCUCUUCUUCCAUCAGGUUUUGCUAUACUUCCUGAUGGUAAUGCGAAUGGUGGAGGAGAAGGAGGGUCGUUGUUGACGGUUGCUUUUCAGAUUCUGGUUGACUCGGUUCCAACGGCUAAGCUGUCUCUUGGAUCUGUUGCAACUGUGAACAAUUUGAUUGCUUGCACUGUUGAGAGGAUCAAAGCUUCCAUGUCUUGUGAGACUGCUUGAAGAAACACAGAGAGGAUGAUUCGGUUGAAGAGAGUUUUUUGGUGUUGAAAGGGGGAGGAGUCAAGAGCGAACCUUACAAGAUAUACCAUUGAGUAAGGUUAUGGAUUGUAGUGUUAAGUUUUGCUCUGCUUAUUUGUUGAAACUAUAAGCAGUGACAAAACUUUUUACUUGAGAGUGACAAUGCAAAUGGUGUAAAGAGGUUCGGGAAUUGACUUCCCUUGCAACAUACUUGGUCAGAGAUGCUUUUCAACUUGUUUUUUUUUUUGUGUCACUUCUUUCAAAGCUUUUGGUUAGAAAGACCUUAAUCAAGAAUUUGAAGUUUGUAUUCUUUUGGGUUUAAAUUUUGUUUAUAUUGAAAGUAUUGUUUUAUUUCUCUUAAACUUUUUAUGUGUCUUUGCUUAUUGCUUUGUAAGCCUAUUAAAGUUGGUUUAUCAGAAAGCUCACACUUUAGGUUAUUAUGGUUUCAGCUUAAACUGCACCAAAGAUAUAUCAUGAAUCUGAUACCAACCAAGGAAAAGUAUCAUUAAUACUCUGUGACAUAAAGAAAAGAGAUGAAAAAAGGACUAAAUCAAAUGAGAAACUCACCCCUCAAACAAACUUUCUUCUUGUCAAAACAAGGGAUCUUUCGGUCGAAUGAGACACAUUCCCUGAACAUAUCAUUUCCCCAAAGCUCAGCAGCCUAAAGAUUCACAAAAAUAAUAUGAGAAAAAAAGAUGCAACAUCCAAAAAAAAAAAAUACAAUAUCCAAAAAUGUAACUGCUUUGCUAACUGUUGGUCUACUUAACCGAACUAACAAACCGUAAGGAAAUCUCCGGUUCAGUUAAAUCGUCUUUCUUUCCGGUUCAGUCAAGUUAAGUAUUGAAUAUUAAUUUUUCUAACAGCUGAGCAAAGACAGAGUAAGAGAGAAAGGAUGAGCGAGACGAGACCAGUGCCGAGGAGAGAAAGCCCGUGGGGUUUACCGGAAGGUCACCGUGAGCCCAAAGCUCACCGCUGCAACGAUCGCGUCGAGGACGUCGUCCAGGUUUUUCAUUCUUUCCUUUGGAUCUCUCUCUCUCAAAGUAUUCUCCUAAGAUUUGCUGUUGAGAUUCAAUAUAAUCUGAUAUUUAUAGGCUUCUCUUAAUUCGAAUCGAACCAGAAAUGGUCAGUGAGAUUUAAAUUGAUGAAAGAUGACAACUUGUAGCAACUAUUGGAAUUGUUGUGAUCCUUACAUAGUGUUUUUAUGCAUUAAAGGAAUUGAAUUUGCUUGCCACUGAACAUGAUUCUCGUAUAUGCUAAAAUCUUUUGGCAGGCGUUUUUCGAGGGAAACCCAUUUAAGACAGUUCCAGGACCUUUUAAACUAUUCUACCGUUGCAUGCGCUCUAAGCCAGGGUAUGUAUGUGUGCAAUCUCAUACUCUUACCAUGAUCGAUCAUAGUCUUGUUGUUGUUGUUGACAAUAAGGCUACAGGGUCAUAAAGUGUUUACCUUUAAGCCUUUUCUCUUCGCUCUUAAAUCAUUAGGCUCUGCACCAUUCAUCUUGUUUGUUUAUUUCAGAGAGGAACCAACAGAGCCAUUCACAUACCUUGACCUGGAACCUCCAAAGAGACAAGCAAAACUUGAAGAAAAGUGAACUACCCACUCCUUUUUUAUUUACCUUGCAGCUUUUUAUCUGACCAUGUAAGCGCUAAUGCUAAGAUAGUGAUUUUAAGUUUUCAUUCAUGUAUCAGCAACAUCUUCUGACUUUAUCAUGAUGCCAAUAAAAUUAAUAUUUGAGUUUCAUUUCAGUUUUAUCUUGUGAUGAUUCUGUUACUUCUGAUGAUGAGUUAAAGAAAGAUGAGUUUUCAUUACGUAUCAGGGUAAAGCUUUACAGUUUAUCUCUGGCUUUUGGUUCCUUGCACUUUUCUAUUACAAAAUCUUAUGAUAGUUUCUUCUAUCCUCUAAGUAUGUUCAGAGUCAUUUAUAUGAAUCGCUGAAUCUUAUCCGUUUCAAGGAAUGUCACUACGUUGUGAAUGUGAACUCCCAGCUCCACUUUGGCUACUCUUGAGUUUCUUACCACUCUUCUCUUUCAGCAUCUCCUUGAUCUCUGCCUCCUUCGUAUCCACAACUUUGAUCAACUCCUUGAAACUCGGCGCUCGUAAACCUCUCCCUGAUCGAGACGACUCACUCACUUCACAUGCCCUUUCCUCUUCAUCCCCACUAUCUGGCAAUAACCUCUGGUACUGCCAGAAGACCCUCCAGAAGAAAACAGUGAGUGCUACAAAGCAAGUGAUGCCACAGAUAAGAAAGAGUCCCCAGAAACUCUUGAGCGAAAGCUCAGAGUUCUCGCCGUUCGAUAUCUGCAUAGAGCAUUCGUGCUUGUAGUUAAGCCAUUUCCUGUGUAUCUUCUCAAGCUCCCCCUCUUCAGAGAGCUGCAGGAUAGCAGUAGACAUGUCUACCGCUAAAGGGGAGUCUCUCUGGAAUGCGAAACCCCAGCCUGUGCGUGUGAACACUUGUCCCACUGUACGGUACUUGCAGUUACUGUUUGUCAAAAGGACUUCGACGUAAGGAAGCUCGUCUACAAUGGCUGCAACGCCGCCGGCUUUGGGACCGAGUUGGAGAGCAGAGAGGUAGUGUUCUUCGUCUCUUAGUGGAACAAUCCUGUGAGGAGAUAUGUUAAGCUCGUUGACAAGAUAGUUUCUAGCGAAAGUGCCGUCUUGAACACCUAUUGGUUCAUUGCUUUGUAUCAAGCUAUCUAUUCCUUCAAUCCGAGAUGUCAGCUGCUGAACGGUUAGGAUCGAAGUGAGGCUAGCUGUGUAGCUUGAGUUGAUGAUGUUCUCUCUCACUUUCCUCUCUCUCUCUCUCUAAGAUUUGUACCUACCUUUCAAACACUUCGCCAAAAACCGCUUCACAAAACCAUCACUGGUUUUCCGGCAAACAAAUCUCGGACCAGACAUCGAUAUCGAUAUCGAUUCACUCCUCUCUCUCUCCCUCUAGGGUUUCUUCGCUUCUUCCUCGCAGUGUAUGUUUCGAGCACCUCAUCAUUUCUCUGGUGAUAUUUAGGUAGUUUAUCGUAAUAUUUGAAUAUAAUCUUUUUUUUUACUUUGUCUAACGGGUUGGAUCAUUCCACUAAAAUUUAUCAGCCUCUUCAUAAGACUCUCAUUUUCAUGAUG